This 71-nucleotide small RNA is filed under the name Salmonella enterica. Its description in RNAcentral is "partial RtT sRNA". It matches the Rfam family "RtT RNA", at positions 1 to 71 of the family's 130-position model. Rfam says of the family: This family represents a bacterial cis-regulatory element known as RtT RNA. The exact function of RtT is unknown although it is thought that it may be involved in changing the cellular response in relation to amino acid starvation. RNAcentral also lists the same sequence under 4 other names. The record is from RNAcentral. Lineage: Bacteria; Pseudomonadati; Pseudomonadota; Gammaproteobacteria; Enterobacterales; Enterobacteriaceae.
AUAUCUCUCCGUACGGGAAGGAUGAGAAGCUUCGACUAAGGUUCGAUUCGAGCGCAGCGAGAAAGCGUUGC